Molecule: ribosomal RNA, 429 nt
Filed under: Acidobacteriota bacterium
Lineage: Bacteria; Pseudomonadati; Acidobacteriota
Description: Acidobacteria bacterium partial 16S ribosomal RNA
Rfam family: Bacterial small subunit ribosomal RNA
Source: RNAcentral
UGGGGAAUUUUGGACAAUGGGGGAAACCCUGAUCCAGCCAUCCCGCGUGUGCGAUGAAGGCCUUCGGGUUGUAAAGCACUUUUGGCAGGAAAGAAACGUCAUGGGUUAAUACCCCGUGAAACUGACGGUACCUGCAGAAUAAGCACCGGCUAACUACGUGCCAGCAGCCGCGGUAAUACGUAGGGUGCAAGCGUUAAUCGGAAUUACUGGGCGUAAAGCGUGCGCAGGCGGUUCGGAAAGAAAGAUGUGAAAUCCCAGAGCUCAACUUUGGAACUGCAUUUUUAACUACCGGGCUAGAGUGUGUCAGAGGGAGGUGGAAUUCCGCGUGUAGCAGUGAAAUGCGUAGAUAUGCGGAGGAACCCCGAUGGCGAAGGCAGCCUCCUGGGAUAACACUGACGCUCAUGCACGAAAGCGUGGGGAGCAAACAGG